CCAAUAGCGUAUAUUAAAGUUGUUGCAGUUAAAAAGCUCGUAGUUGAACUUCGGGGUUCACCCAUUGGUCAGGCUUAAUUGUCUGUACUGGUGAGAUGAGUCUCUACCUUCUGAGGAACUUUCAUGCCAUUUAUUUGGUGUGAUGGGAAAUCAGGACUGUUACUUUGAAAAAAUUAGAGUGUUUAAAGCAGGCUAACGUCUGAAUACAUUAGCAUGGAAUAAUGAAAUAGGACGGAUUGAUUCUAUUUCGUUGGUUUCUAGGAUCACCGUAAUGAUUAAUAGGGAUAGUUGGGGGCAUUAGUAUUCAAUUGUCAGAGGUGAAAUUCUUGGAUUUAUUGAAGACUAACUACUGCGAAAGCAUUUGCCAAGGAUGUUUUCAUUAAUCAAGAACGAAAGUUAGGGGAUCGAAGACGAUCAGAUACCGUCGUAGUCUUAACCAUAAACUAUGCCGACUAGGGAUCGGAUGAUGUUAAUUUUUUAAUGACUCAUUCGGCGCCUUACG
RNAcentral lists this unclassified non-coding RNA (502 nucleotides) under uncultured Diversispora. Its description in RNAcentral is "SSU rRNA". It matches the Rfam family "Eukaryotic small subunit ribosomal RNA", at positions 591 to 1092 of the family's 1831-position model. Lineage: Eukaryota; Fungi; Glomeromycota; Glomeromycetes; Diversisporales; Diversisporaceae. The record is from RNAcentral.